CAAACGGCCCUUUUCAGGGCCACCCCAAACUAAACUAACUAAGCGGU
Non-coding RNA from Macrostomum lignano, 47 nucleotides. NCBI's taxonomy places the organism in Eukaryota, Metazoa, Platyhelminthes, Macrostomidae. The record is from Rfam.